RNAcentral lists this unclassified non-coding RNA (334 nucleotides) under soil metagenome. Its description in RNAcentral is "partial contains 5.8S ribosomal RNA, internal transcribed spacer 2, and large subunit ribosomal RNA". The stretch from base 1 to 120 matches the Rfam family "5.8S ribosomal RNA", at positions 35 to 154 of the family's 154-position model. The record is from RNAcentral.
GAUUAAGAACGCAUCGAAAUGCGAUAAGUAAUGUGAAUUGCAGAAUUCAGUGAAUCAUCGAAUCUUUGAACGCACAUUGCGCCCGCCAGUAUUCUGGCGGGCAUGCCUGUUCGAGCGUCAUUUCAACCAUCAAGCCCUGCUUGCGUUGGGGUCCUGCGGCUGCCCGCAGGCCCUGAAAACCAGUGGCGGGCUCGCUAGUCACACCGAGCGCAGUAAUACAUCUCGCUUUGGGCGUGCGGCGGGUUCUUGCCGUUAAACACCCCCUUUUUACCAAGGUUGACCUCGGAUCAGGUAGGAAUACCCGCUGAACUUAAGCAUAUCAAUAAGCGGAGGA